GUCACUGGAAGGAGCAAUUGUGGUGGGGAGUGGUCAGCUGUCAGAGAGACCUCCCAAUAUCAAUCAGAAAGAAAGUAGCAUAAAAAGAAAAGUGCCAGUACCUCAAAUUUAUACUAAAGCACAGUACUUUAGGGAAUACACAUUUCAUCAUUAGUAUUCUUACAUUUAGGUGUUCCAGUGGACAUAUUUGCAUUCUGACCAAGUGUGCAUAUGUAUGACAGAAAUGAUCUCUGAAGCUACAUGCUAUAUGCAGUGGUCUGAACUUUUCAUAUUGAUGUAUUACAGGCUCUGCUGAUUUCAGCACAAAGAAAGAAGUCUUCGAUAGGGUCAUGGGUGUUCGAAGGCUUCAAGAGGAGAAAAAGAUCCUUGUGAAAGAAAUGAAGCAGCACUGGGAGUCUCUCAAAGCCCAUGCCAGGGUCUUGUCCGAGUUGUCUCAGCAUCAGAGUGAAGACGCCAUGCAAAGACAUCUCACAGAAAAAGCAACAAAGGGUCACACCUGCCUCAUCCUCAGAAGGCAGUGGGAAAUGAGAGAGCUGCAGCGGCAUACAAGAAAACACUACCUGCAUGUACUGUCAUCAGCAGAUGACAUAAUGGACACAAUGGACAGUUCAGAUGAGUUCGACAUUAGCUGUGAAGAUUCAGAGUCGGAUGCAAUGUAAAACAGGAAGAUGUGGUGCUCAUGAUCACAGUGCACCGUGUGCGACACAUGGUCACAGAGCAUGUGGCUUUAAAAAGUAACUAACGUAUGUGCUCAUUGUCAGGAUUAAGUUGGAGAUGACAGUUGUAGUUUUUGUAUUAGGUUGUUGUUAUUUCUGCAUUUUGUUUUGAAAUGUUUCAUCACUUAUAUAAGGUUUGAUUUUUCUACUGGGUUGUGGGAAGUUCCUGGUUAAUGUUGACUUACAUCUUUACAACACAAACCACUGUCCUUUACUGUCUUAUCUUUGAUUGAUGUUCAGUUCUGCAUCUUUUCAGGGAUUUUCUUUCCAGUUGAUCUUUACUGUUUGAUUAAUAAUUCUUCUUUAAUGUUUAAUUAAACAAAGGCACAAUAAAGCUACAUUUCUGAUUGAGUCCUUGGAUGUUACUACUGUUUUAGGUUAGACUUAUUUUAUCUGAGCAAUUCCCACAUGCUUUCAGAGUACAUGAAUUCAGUAUAUGGCAAGAGGAGAGAUUCAGAGGAAGGACUAGUGAUAUGGGAUUUUCAGCAUCAAGUUUUCAAUAACAUGAACUGUUUUAAUGCAAUUAUAUAGUAUAACAUCCAACUUUACACAGGUUGAAUGAUUUAGCAAACCACAUUUUAUGUGAUAUACUGUAUAUCAGAUGAACUAGCCAAAGUCAAAACAUGUAUGUAACAUGUAAAGAAAAGACUUAAAUAAAAUAAGAGUAUCUCAAAUUUGUAUUUAUAAUUAUAAUAAUAUAAUUUUAAGUGGCUCCUGCUGUGAAAUAUUGACCUCUGAACCUUGACCUCAGUGCAUAUUGGAAGGCUUGUCAUUCAGCAACAGAAGAGGCUACAGACAUGGGACCAACUGUUUCAGAAAGCUCUUGACUUCAGCUGUGUGACUAUAUUCAUAUAAAUAUAGUCACCAAGUGGGGGCACUGUCAUGUAUGAUCAAAAUGAAUUUUCACCAAUUUAACAAUUGCAUAUUUACAAUCUGAUCACAUAAAUGUGUUUCCCACUCCUUUAAAUCUAUCAGUAUACUGUUAAUUUAAUAUU
Molecule: long non-coding RNA, 1711 nt
Filed under: Dicentrarchus labrax (European seabass)
Lineage: Eukaryota; Metazoa; Chordata; Actinopteri; Moronidae
Description: lncRNA (ENSDLAG00005034031.1)
Source: RNAcentral